AACGAACGCUGGCGGCGCGCCUAAUACAUGCAAGUCGAGCGAGAAGACGUAGCAAUACGUUUGUAAAGCGGCGAACGGGUGAGGAAUACAUGGGUAACCUACCCUCGAGUGGGGAAUAACUAGCCGAAAGGUUAGCUAAUACCGCGUACGCUCCUUGGACUUCGGUUCAGGGAGGAAAGCGAUACCGUGGGUAUCGCGCUCUUGGAUGGGCUCAUGUCCUAUCAGCUUGUUGGUGAGGUAACGGCUCACCAAGGCUUCGACGGGUAGCUGGUCUGAGAGGACGAUCAGCCACACUGGCACUGCGACACGGGCCAGACUCCUACGGGAGGCAGCAGUAAGGAAUAUUGCGCAAUGGGCGAAAGCCUGACGCAGCGACGCCGCGUGGGGGAGUGAAGGUCUUCGGAUUGUAAACCCC
Molecule: ribosomal RNA, 415 nt
Filed under: uncultured bacterium
Lineage: Bacteria
Description: bacterial SSU rRNA
Rfam family: Bacterial small subunit ribosomal RNA
Source: RNAcentral